Hemiscyllium ocellatum (epaulette shark) is the source of this 857-nucleotide long non-coding RNA. RefSeq lists it as uncharacterized. The record is from RefSeq and is a predicted model, not a curated record. NCBI's taxonomy places the organism in Eukaryota, Metazoa, Chordata, Chondrichthyes, Orectolobiformes, Hemiscylliidae. The transcript has 6 exons.
GGUUUGUUAUGAUGUUCUGAAUAAAGCAGGAGAUACAUUUGGAAACUGUGGCGAGGAUGAAAACCAUAUACACAUAAAGUGUCUCCCUGAGAAUACACGUUGUGGGAAAAUUCAGUGCAAAGGUGGGAGUGCAUUUCCAGUCCGAGGUGGACAGGUGAAGAUUGUUGUCAGUUCUGUCAAAUUUAAGGGUGUGACAUAUAAUUGCAGAGGGAUUGUUUCUGACCUAGCUGAUGCCAGCACUCCAGACUUAGUUCAUCAAGGAACCAAGUGUGGCAACAACAAGCUGUGUCAUUAUGCACAAUGUAAGGAUUUGGCUGUCUUUAAAGUAAAGGAAUGUGACGACACCUGCAAUAAAAAAGGGGUUUGCAACAACAGAGGUAACUGUCACUGUGAUGUUGGCUGGGCUCCUCCAUUUUGUAAAACCAAGGGUCCAGGUGGCAGCAUUGACAGUGGGCCUAUGACUAGAACAGUCAAAGUUCUAGGAAGUAUACCUAAGCCAGCUGUUCUGGGUGUUACGAUCAUGGCACCAGCUUUAAUGGUCCCGGUAUUAGCCUAUUUCCUCACGAAGGUAUUUAUGAAGAAAGCCAAGAUUGCAAGUGCAAGAUCUCGAGCAAGUUAAAGAAAUGGUGGCUGUCCAAGCUUCAGAAAUCUUCCAGCCAACUGCAGGAGCUUAUGAAUCCAGACAAAUUGUUCUGUGCACCCAUGAUGCUCAAAUGUUGAUGUGUAUCACCAUGUACUGUAUUAAAAUGCUGUAAUCGUGGGAGAAGGGUGCACACCAGAUGCAUUUCAAUGAAUAAAAUAAGAUUUAUUCUGAAUGACUGCAAUUUCCCAAUGAAUAAAUACAUCAGAAAUACUUA